Molecule: ribosomal RNA, 881 nt
Filed under: Aeromicrobium sp. CNRD02
Lineage: Bacteria; Bacillati; Actinomycetota; Actinomycetes; Propionibacteriales; Nocardioidaceae
Description: bacterial SSU rRNA
Rfam family: Bacterial small subunit ribosomal RNA
Source: RNAcentral
AGCGGCGAACGGGUGAGUAACACGUGAGCAAUCUGCCCUUCUCUUUGGAAUAACCAUUGGAAACGAUGGCUAAUGCCGAAUAUGACCUCCCUUCGCAUGUUGGGAGGUGGAAAGCUCCGGCGGAGAUGGAUGAGCUCGCGGCCUAUCAGCUUGUUGGUGAGGUAAUGGCUCACCAAGGCAUUGACGGGUAGCCGGCCUGAGAGGGUGACCGGCCACACUGGGACUGAGACACGGCCCAGACUCCUACGGGAGGCAGCAGUGGGGAAUAUUGGACAAUGGGCGAAAGCCUGAUCCAGCAACGCCGCGUGAGGGAUGACGGCCUUCGGGUUGUAAACCUCUUUCAGCAGGGACGAAGCGAGAGUGACGGUACCUGCAGAAGAAGGACCGGCCAACUACGUGCCAGCAGCCGCGGUAAUACGUAGGGUCCGAGCGUUGUCCGGAAUUAUUGGGCGUAAAGGGCUCGUAGGCGGUUUGUCGCGUCGGGAGUGAAAACUCAGGGCUCAACCCUGAGCGUGCUUUCGAUACGGGCAGACUAGAGGUAUGCAGGGGAGAACGGAAUUCCUGGUGUAGCGGUGGAAUGCGCAGAUAUCAGGAGGAACACCGGUGGCGAAGGCGGUUCUCUGGGCAUUACCUGACGCUGAGGAGCGAAAGCAUGGGGAGCGAACAGGAUUAGAUACCCUGGUAGUCCAUGCCGUAAACGUUGGGCGCUAGGUGUGGGGACCUUCCACGGUUUCCGUGCCGCAGCUAACGCAUUAAGCGCCCCGCCUGGGGAGUACGGCCGCAAGGCUAAAACUCAAAGGAAUUGACGGGGGCCCGCACAAGCGGCGGAGCAUGCUGAUUAAUUCGAUGCAACGCGAAGAACCUUACCUGGGUUUGACAUA